Molecule: ribosomal RNA, 440 nt
Filed under: uncultured Rahnella sp.
Lineage: Bacteria; Pseudomonadati; Pseudomonadota; Gammaproteobacteria; Enterobacterales; Yersiniaceae
Description: bacterial SSU rRNA
Rfam family: Bacterial small subunit ribosomal RNA
Source: RNAcentral
GGAAUAUUGCACAAUGGGCGCAAGCCUGAUGCAGCCAUGCCGCGUGUGUGAAGAAGGCCUUAGGGUUGUAAAGCACUUUCAGCGAGGAGGAAGGCAUCACACUUAAUACGUGUGGUGAUUGACGUUACUCGCAGAAGAAGCACCGGCUAACUCCGUGCCAGCAGCCGCGGUAAUACGGAGGGUGCAAGCGUUAAUCGGAAUUACUGGGCGUAAAGCGCACGCAGGCGGUUUGUUAAGUCAGAUGUGAAAUCCCCGCGCUUAACGUGGGAACUGCAUUUGAAACUGGCAAGCUAGAGUCUUGUAGAGGGGGGUAGAAUUCCAGGUGUAGCGGUGAAAUGCGUAGAGAUCUGGAGGAAUACCGGUGGCGAAGGCGGCCCCCUGGACAAAGACUGACGCUCAGGUGCGAAAGCGUGGGGAGCAAACAGGAUUAGAUACCCUAG